CUAAGCCCCAGUGCUGUGGUGCGGUGAUCUGGGGACCAACAGUUUUAAUUUUUCUGGACCCCUUUGGUGGGCAUGCCCCCGGAUACUGGCGGCUAAGACCUUGGGUGUGGCAGCUGGUGUUAAGGGGAGUUGGGGAUUGGGAAUCCCCUCUGCUUCCCUACAGACACGCCCCCCAGGGAGAUUCCCGCGGUUUCCUGGCUGCUUGUAUCUGGAUGGGGUUGGAGUCACACACCUGCUAAAGUGGAUUCUGCUGGGAAGGAAUUCCGUCAGCCAAACUCCGGUGACAUCAACUCUCUGCUAUGGCGGGCCCCAGGCUCCUUGUCGGAGUGUCCGAAGGGAGGGGUGGGACUGGUCUGUCUCUGGUUGGUUUCAGCUCCCAGUUCGCUACUUCAUGAAGGCCUGGCUAGAGACCUCUUCCUAGAGUCCCUACGCUGCACCUGCUGGGCCGUGCCUCUGGGUCUAGCAGCCCAGUCGCGGGGGCCGCCUGCGGGCGGUCGCUGGCGGGCGGGCGGUUGCCGAGUUGAGUCGUGCGGGCAGCGGCUGGCGAGUCCGGACCUCUGCGCUGCGCUGCGUGGCGGAGAUUCACUCGUCUGGGGCAGACUGUCACUUCCCAAAAUCCUACCAAUUGCCGGCCGG
Molecule: long non-coding RNA, 636 nt
Filed under: Marmota monax (woodchuck)
Lineage: Eukaryota; Metazoa; Chordata; Mammalia; Rodentia; Sciuridae
Source: RNAcentral